UACGGGGGGGGCAAGCGUUAAUCGGAAUUACUGGGCGUAAAGCGUGCGCAGGCGGCUUUGCAAGACAGAUGUGAAAUCCCCGGGCUUAACCUGGGAACUGCAUUUGUGACUGCAUGGCUAGAGUGCGGCAGAGGGGGAUGGAAUUCCGCGUGUAGCAGUGAAAUGCGUAGAUAUGCGGAGGAACACCGAUGGCGAAGGCAAUCCCCUGGGCCUGCACUGACGCUCAUGCACGAAAGCGUGGGGAGCAAACAGG
RNAcentral lists this ribosomal RNA (253 nucleotides) under uncultured bacterium. RNAcentral describes it as "partial 16S ribosomal RNA". It matches the Rfam family "Bacterial small subunit ribosomal RNA", at positions 524 to 776 of the family's 1533-position model. The record is from RNAcentral.